RNAcentral lists this ribosomal RNA (167 nucleotides) under Aphanochaete repens. RNAcentral describes it as "5.8S ribosomal RNA". It matches the Rfam family "5.8S ribosomal RNA". From Rfam's summary of the family: 5.8S ribosomal RNA (5.8S rRNA) is a component of the large subunit of the eukaryotic ribosome. It is transcribed by RNA polymerase I as part of the 45S precursor that also contains 18S and 28S rRNA. The record is from RNAcentral. Lineage: Eukaryota; Viridiplantae; Chlorophyta; Chlorophyceae; Chaetophorales; Aphanochaetaceae.
AACCAAAGACAACUCUCAACAACGGAUAUCUUGGCUCUCGCAACGAUGAAGAACGCAGCGAAAUGCGAUACGUAGUGUGAAUUGCAGAAUUCCGUGAACCAUCGAAUCUUUGAACGCAUAUUGCGCUCGCGGCUUCGGCCAAGAGCAUGUCUGCCUCAGCGUCGGUU